This is a long non-coding RNA of Homo sapiens (human), 2606 nucleotides long. NCBI's taxonomy places the organism in Eukaryota, Metazoa, Chordata, Mammalia, Primates, Hominidae. The record is from Ensembl.
AAGAAAAUGAAGAAAAAACAAAUGUUAAUAUGCUGUACAAAAAAAAUAGAGAAGAAUUAGAAAGGAAAGAGAAACAAUAUAAGAAAGAAGUUGAAGCAAAACAACUUGAACCAACUGUUCAGUCACUAGAGAUGAAAUCAAAGACUGCAAGAAAUACUCCAAAUCGGGAUUUUCAUAAUCAUGAAGAAAUGAAAGGUCUGAUGGAUGAAAAUUGCAUUUUGAAGGCAGAUAUUGCUAUACUCAGACAGGAAAUAUGUACAAUGAAAAAUGACAACUUGGAAAAAGAAAAUAAAUAUCUUAAGGACAUUAAAAUUGUUAAAGAAACAAAUGCUGCCCUUGAAAAGUAUAUAAAACUCAAUGAGGAAAUGAUAACAGAAACAGCAUUCCGGUAUCAACAAGAGCUUAAUUAUCUCAAGGCUGAGAAUACAAGGCUCAAUGCCGAACUGUUGAAGGAAAAAGAAAGCAAGAAAAGACUGGAAGCUGACAUUGAAUCUUAUCAGUCUAGACUGGCUGCUGCUAUAAGCAAACACAGUGAAAGUGUGAAAACAGAAAGAAACCUAAAACUUGCUUUAGAGAGAACACGAGAUGUUUCUGUACAAGUAGAAAUGAGUUCUGCUAUUUCCAAAGUAAAAGAUGAGAAUGAGUUUCUUACUGAACAACUUUCUGAAACACAAAUUAAAUUCAAUGCCUUAAAAGAUAAGUUCCGUAAGACAAGAGAUAGUCUCAGAAAAAAGUCAUUGGCUUUAGAAACUGUACAAAACGACCUAAGCCAAACACAGCAGCAAACACAGGAAAUGAAAGAGAUGUAUCAAAAUGCAGAAGCUAAAGUGAAUAAUUCCACUGGAAAGUGGAACUGUGUAGAAGAGAGGAUAUGUCACCUCCAACGUGAAAAUGCGUGGCUUGUACAGCAACUAGAUGACGUUCAUCAGAAAGAGGAUCAUAAAGAGAUAGUAACUAAUAUCCAAAGAGGCUUUAUUGAGAGUGGAAAGAAAGACCUCGUGCUAGAAGAGAAAAGUAAGAAGCUAAUGAAUGAAUGUGAUCAUUUAAAAGAAAGUCUCUUUCAGUAUGAGAGAGAGAAAACAGAAGGAGUAAUAUAAGAAACUCCUGGAAAUGACAAUAAAUAUGUUAAAUGUAUUUGGAAAUGAAGACUUUGAUUGCCAUGGAGACUUAAAAACAGAUCAACUGAAAAUGGAUAUUCUGAUUAAGAAGCUAAAACAGAAGUUUGAUGAUCUUACGGCAGAGAAGGAAGCUUUAUCUUCAAAAUGUGUCAAUUUGGCUAAAGACAAUCAAGUUCUUCAACAGGAGUUUUUAUCUAUGAAAAAAGUACAACAGCAAUGUGAGAAACUUGAGGAGGAUAAAAAGAUGUUGAAAGAAGAAAUAUUAAAUCUUAAGACACAUAUGGAAAACAAUAGGGUAGAACUUAGUAAACUACAAGAAUAUAAAUUGGAGCUAGAUGAAAAGGCAGUGCAGGCAGUAGAAAAAUUAGAAGAAAUCCAUUUACAGGAACAAGCACAAUAUGAAAAACAAUUAGAGCAGUUAAACAAGGAUAAUAUGGCUUCACUAAAUAAAAAGGAACUCACACUUAAAGAUGUGGAAUGUAAAUUCUCAGAAAUGAAAACUGCUUAUGAAGAGGUUACAACCGAAUUAGAAGAAUAUAAGGAAGCCUUUGCAGCAGCAUUGAAAGCUAACAAUUCCAUGUCAAAAAAAUUAACAAAAUCAAAUAAGAAAAUAGCAGUGAUCAGCAUGAAGCUCCUUAUGGAGAAAGAGCAGAUGAAAUAUUUUCUCAGUGCUCUUCCUACAAGGCGAGACCCAGAGUCACCUUGUGUUGAAAAUCUUACUAGUAUAGGACUCAACAGAAAAUAUAUUCCCCAAACACCCAUAAGAAUUCCUAUUUCAAGCCCACAGACUUCAAAUAACUGCAAGAACUCCUAGACUAUGGAGCUGGACUGUGUAGAACAAAUAACUAGAGAAACAAAGAGAAUUGUUGCUGUGUUGAACACUUGCUCCCGUCUACUUACUUCUCUAUAAUCCACUGCCAUGGAAUGAGUGAUUUUUCUUAGAAGCAGAGGUGGAGCCACUGAGGAAGCACAGGCGAGCCCUCCCCAGCACGUGCUCACUGGUCCCCAACAGAACAACCGCUGCCACAUCCAUGAGGCUCCCAUUGUGGUGGGUUGUGUCACCCCACAAUGUCACUGUUGCUGAGCCCCCAUCGCCUCUGUGUUGUGGAGCAGUUAGAGACACACUGUGGUGUCUGAGUGGCUCUGCGUGAAGGACCGUUUUCUAGGUGAGAGGCACAUCUCAACACAGCUGACUGAUCAGACUCAGCCGUUUUGCACACCCUGGUCAGAAUGAAACAUUCCUUGGGAACUCGGGCCGUGAGAAGCAUCCUUCCUGAUCACCUGACUGUAGAAACAUCCUUAUCGCACCCUCCCGGGCAAAGGCCCAACAGCCUGACUGCAGGAACAUCCUUGCCAUAUCCUGCCGGGCAGCAAGCUCUACCGCCCACACCCCUCCUUCCCAGUCCCAUGAUCACCCCAGCCUGUGAGAGGCAGUUGGUGCUGGCAGUAAGCUGGUUUCCUCCUCUGCAGGGUUUUGCUAGUAAUAAA